UCCUCCUUAUUUUCUCCUUUUCUUCUUCUUUUCUUUGCCUUGCCUUUUCUUGCUUUGUUUUUUCUUGCCUUUUCUGGUUUAAAUAUUACAAUUUGCUUUAUAGUUUGCUUAAUUUUCUACAGUUCCUCUCUUAAGAUGAUGCAGCUUUGUACCACAUUUAUUUGGGAAGCAUGGGGCCUCAGUGUACCUGUUGGUGAGAAGUUCAGCAGGCAGUGAACCUAAGGAAUUACUGUGUCCAAAACUACACUGGGAUUUACUGCCACCCCCUUGCUUUGACCCAGACCUGCCAUACUUUUGUGGCAUUGUUGUCAUGGGUGAGGGCUGUUCCUGGUCUCUUUGUGCUUCCACUGCUUCAGCACGUGAGUAUCUGAUGAGCUCAGGGAGGCAGCUACCUGCUUGGUGCUGUGCUUUGCCAAAUAAUCCUUUGGAAGAACACAAGCUAACCCCGACACUCUGUUGACUUUUCCAGCAGGACUUCAGGAAGGGAUCCUCCCACUGGGUUACAACUCUGAGUUAAGACGUGACAUCACAUGCCAAAGAGAACGUGGCUGCUUUGUUCCCUGCUUGUACAGACAGAUAUGGCACUAGACACUGCCUGUAUCUAGGGCCUGAGUGCUUUUAUGCCUGUAAUGCCACUCAGCUCACAUCCCUGCAUGCACUGGAGCAGCACAACUGUCCCUCUUGCACCAGAAAAAGUGGGAAUGUUGGAUGGUAAGAUCCCUGCCAGACAAGUCCACAAAGUAGAAUGCUGGACAACUGAGAAGAUGUAUGAGCCACAUGUCCUCCUACUGUGUUCUUUUUCUGCCCUCACAGUUUCAAGAUAUUCUUCGUAAUAAAAUUUAAGGACAAUUAAAUGUCUUUACAAAAAGCAAGAUAUCAGCCAGAGGCAAAAUUCCCUAGUAUCCAGCUCUAGUGUAAGCUUUCAGACUGAGCCUUGUCUUCUCCCUGAAGCUCUGGGUUUCUCCAGUGUCAGAUUAAAAAAAAAAAAAAAACCACAAAAAAAACCCCCAAAAAACCCACAAAACAAAACAAAACAAAACAAAACAAAACAAAACAAAACAAAACAAAAAAAAAACCAA
This is a long non-coding RNA of Passer domesticus (house sparrow), 1079 nucleotides long. RefSeq lists it as uncharacterized. The record is from RefSeq and is a predicted model, not a curated record. The transcript is spliced from 7 exons. NCBI's taxonomy places the organism in Eukaryota, Metazoa, Chordata, Aves, Passeriformes, Passeridae.